Molecule: ribosomal RNA, 249 nt
Filed under: uncultured Pelagibacteraceae bacterium
Lineage: Bacteria; Pseudomonadati; Pseudomonadota; Alphaproteobacteria; Candidatus Pelagibacterales; Candidatus Pelagibacteraceae
Description: partial 16S ribosomal RNA
Rfam family: Bacterial small subunit ribosomal RNA
Source: RNAcentral
UGGGGAAUCUUGCACAAUGGAGGAAACUCUGAUGCAGCGAUGCCGCGUGAGUGAAGAAGGCCUUUGGGUUGUAAAGCUCUUUUGUAGGGGAAGAUAAUGACUGUACCCUAAGAAUAAGGUCCGGCUAACUUCGUGCCAGCAGCCGCGGUAAUACGAAGGGACCUAGCGUAGUUCGGAAUUACUGGGCGUAAAGCGCGCGUAGGCCGUUGAGUUAGUUAAUUGUGAAAUCCCAAAGCUUAACUUUGGAAC